GAGGGGGGAGGGCGGCUUCAGUUGCGACUGAAGCCAAGAGAAAGCUGAACACAGUCCAACUGCAGAAGUCGGUGGCGUGUAACUGUCCUCAGCUGGCCUGAGAUCCGCCCUAACUGCCCUAACGGCUGAUGUAGCUGCACAGUGGUGGUGAGCCUGAGGUAAGCCUCCAGCUAAGACCGUUUGCACUCAGACUCAUUUUCAUCUCCAGCUUGCUCUGUAAGUUGGGUGUACCUCAACAAUAUCGUGGCAAACUACAGAUGGGCCAAGCCGGGAGGAAAACCAAUGACUCUUAAACCCAGGGUGCCAUGGAGACCCUCUAUAGUCCAGGACAGCAUGCGGUUUGCAGCUUGCCUUAUUAUAGAUGCUCUGUGAAUUCUUCCUGGACAUCCGGUCCCUUCUCUCACGGGUCCUCAGAACUUCUGCCAGAUGAGGUUUCUGUCCUAAGUGGGGGAAAUCUGCCUCAGGUUAUCUGAGGGCAGAGGCCGUGUGGACUCAGGCCUCUGUGCAACCAAGCUCCUCUAGGAGAGCCCAUCCUCACCCUGGGCAGAAUGCUGGGCUUCAUUCAUAUUCAUCGUCACUUGGAGCUGCACCUUUUCUCCAGUCUGUGCAGGGAUGUGCAUCACCAUGGCAACGCUAGAGGUGAAAUCACUCAAGUGUUGGCAAGCAGGGUUUCUCUCUGGAGCUUGGAAAAAUGGAGAGCAGGCUUGUGGUGUCACAGAAAGGAAGAUGCCCUUAGAAGAACCCAAGCAUUCUCUAUUCCAUUUGGGGACUUUCCCUUUAAAUAAAAACUGAACAGUAAAUGGAAAGAGAAAUGUUUUUAGUCUCUGGAUCUGCUACCCCAGUGAGCCUACUUGGAACGGACACGCUGAUCCUUCUGGCUUUCCUAACCUGCUGUACCUUGUAGACUGUUCUGCCUGGAGUUACUAUUUUAAAGAGCCCAUUCAACAUAAACUCAUCAAAUGCUUGACUCAAUGAUGAAGUCAGUGCCUUCUUCAUCCAAUGGUACCUCUGACUGGGGAUCAAGUCUUCAACAGGCCAGUCUCUUGAGGGAGGACUCUUCCCAUCCAAAUCCUAUCAGCCUCCAAGGAGUGAGCCCCCGGACUGAUAGAAUUGCUCUGGAAAACUGCCUGGCAUUCUCAAGGAGAGGCAGUCUCUUUCUGGGGAGGCAGCUCCAGGCAGCAUCCCCUCCUGGGCCAUAGCUAAGCGAGAAAAAUCUGAGCACUUUUCUCAUCAAGCUCAAAUCAACUGCGGGAAGCCUCAGAGGGGCCUUCUCUGUGCUUUCCUAGUCAUCUCCAUCUCGACAGUCCUACAGGUUCUGAACGUUAAUCAGUGUCAUCGCGAGUCUGCUGAUGUUACGGAGAACUUAAUUGGUUCUUUGGAGGAAAAUGAGUCACCAUCAGGAGAAUAAGCUGCAGGGCAGGAACACACAAGGGGAAAGGGAAAUGAAACUGUACGCGGAAAAGAUCAAGUGUGCCCUUAUGCUUCUCCUAGGCUGCAGUCCCAGAUGAGCCCACUUUUGCUGAUGGGGCUUAAAGAGGUUUUCAGAACCACGAAGACAAAAGGUAUUGCCUUCUCCUACCCCCAUCGCCUUUGUUUCCCUCUCUCCUUUUCUGCAUGUGCAGCCAUAUCCAGUGGAGGGGGAAGGGGACAGACCGUCCGCCUGACUGUCAGAGUUGAUCAUUGCUGACCUUAUCAAAACACAGAAUCAAUACUCUCUCCUCCCAGCAGUCCAGAAAAAAAUCAUAAGGAGUUUGAACUGAAGCAAUUUGAAGUGCAGAAUUGCAUGAAUCAGGAGACAAGGCAGUAAACUGUUGGGCCUCUGAAUCCUUCCAAGCCCUUCCUAAGAGUCAGGCAAGACCAAUAACAUCACUUGAAAUAACUGUUUCUGGGUGGAGAGGGAUCCAAAGAAGCUUUUGAUAACCAAGCCCACCUCCUGGAGAAAUGGUUUUUUAGGUUUGUGGUAGCAGGGUGCUUUUGAAAGAAGCCUGAAGGAGGGUGGGACUAGAGGCUGGGACCAUGGUCCUCACCUUCCUCAGGACCACUCAGUAGAACCUUUCCAGGCCUGGCCCUGGACAACUCUAUGGCCUUUUACAUUUGGAAUUCCAAGCUGGGUCACACCUCCUUCCCAUUUCUUUGUUCUUUUAAAAAAUAUUUUCUCCAGAUUUACUUUUUCUUUCCUUUUGAGU
This 2186-nucleotide small RNA is filed under the name Rattus norvegicus (Norway rat). RNAcentral's name for it is "uncharacterized LOC108351773". Lineage: Eukaryota; Metazoa; Chordata; Mammalia; Rodentia; Muridae. The record is from RNAcentral.